CCGGGCAAAUCGGAUAACUCUGACGCCCACUAGCUUGCUCGCACAACAUCAUAACAUUUAAAUAUAAAUAUACACACACCAACAAAUAAGCAAACAAAUCAUUUUUCCACUUUAGUAUAAGUGAUAGAAAAAGACAUCGACGCAAUAGAGAAAGUACCGUAAGGGAACGCUGAAAGAGAAAUGAAAUAACUCAGUAAAGCACAACAAAGCAGAGCUCACCCCUCGUACCUUUUGCAUCAUGUUUUAGCCAGAGCCCCUCAAGCAAAAAGCAUUGUAGUUUGACAACCCGAAACUAAGGGAGCUACUCCAGGCCAGCCUAAUAAAAAGGGCCAACCCGUCUCUGUGGCAAUAGAGUGGGAAGAGCUUUGAGUAGAGGUGACAGACCUACCGAACUUAGUUAUAGCUGGUUACCUGAAAAUUGGAUAGAAGUUCAGCCUCUUAAGUUCUCCCCUCACCUUGAUAUCUUUCUAAGUGAGACACCAAGAAAUUAAGAGAGUUAGUCAAAGGGGGUCCAGCCCCUUUGAAUAAAGAAACAACUUUUCUGGGUGGAUAAAGAUCAAAUUCAUAAAGGUAAGUCAUUGAGGUGGGCUUAAAAGCAGCCAUCCUAAUAAAAAGCGUUAAAGCUUGAACAUUGCACUCAAACCCCUAAUUCCGAUUUUAGCCUCCUACUCCCCCUUCUCCUAUCAGGUUUUCCCAUAUCAUAUGGGAAUAAUAAUGCUAAUAUGAGUAAUAAGAGAGCAAGACUCUCUCCACGCCCAAGUGUAACCCGGAACGGACCCCCCGCCGGCCAUUAACGGUCCCAUAACUGAGGGUAAUAGGCCAAAAAUAGAGAACUAGAAGACCACCCAAAUAUCCCCGUUAACCCUACACUGGAGCGCCUCCGUGGAAAGACUAAAAGAAAAAGAAGGAACUCGGCAAACAUAAUUGGCCUCGCCUGUUUACCAAAAACAUCGCCUCUUGAUCCCCUAAAUAUAAAAGGUCCCGCCUGCCUUGUGACUAUACUUUUAACGGCGGCGGUAUCUUGACUGUGCGAAGGUAGCGCAAUCA
Molecule: ribosomal RNA, 1047 nt
Filed under: Melanotaenia trifasciata (banded rainbowfish)
Lineage: Eukaryota; Metazoa; Chordata; Actinopteri; Atheriniformes; Melanotaeniidae
Description: partial 16S ribosomal RNA
Rfam family: Bacterial large subunit ribosomal RNA (bases 207-1047)
Source: RNAcentral